CUUCCAUAUAAAAUACUACAGAUGAACCUUCAUUAGCUGCAAAGGCAGCUAUGAUGGUUAAUUUCUCAUCCAAAUUUGAUACUGUAAAAAUGAACAAAAAGUUUAUUAAAAAAGGCAGCAUAAGUGAUACAUAAACAAAAGAAAUGACAAAGCAUGCCAAGGAACAAUAAAAAGCACAUGCUCCAUGCAAAGGAGGAGUGUGAGAGGAAAGACAUUAGUAACUCAACUCUUUCAUCAAAGAUGGAUAAGUUGAUAAUAACAACAAUAAAAAAUAACACAUAACUUGCCAACAAUCAUACUGUAAUGACUAAAACAGAUAAAUUUUUGUUACAUGUAACUUGAUUUAAUAAAGGUCCAAAUGAACCAUUUCACCAAGUUCCCUCACUUGAAAAUGCUAACACUGAAAUAAAUAUAUAAUAUAAAGAAAGAUUAUUCAAAAUAUCAACUCAGCACAAAAACUCUAAGGAAAAUAAUUGGAAAAAAGUAAACUGAAAUUUGUUCAGAUUUUUGCCAUUGAUCACUCUUCAAAGCUACAGUAAAACUGGAUUCUCCUCAUAUUUCUAAUUCAAAUGUUAAUUAUGUGCUUAGGAACAAAAUAACACUGCCAUGUAAAAUAGUGAAAUCUUAAAUUUGCUAGAAAUUAAUUUCCAAAAUUUAUGAUAGAUAAAGAAAAUCACUUAAUAGACAUAAUUUAUCCAAAAAUUGAACUCUAAACAAAAACAAAUUUUUAACAAUUGAAUAAAGAAGAGACAGAGUGAGAGUGAACGAGGGAAGGGAAGGGCAAAAAAAUUUUAAAACAGAAAUAUGAGAGAGAUACAAAAGGGAUUAACAGAACACCCCAAGAAAAUUUAGUUAUUCAAGAAAUCAAACGAAAUCCAUGAAUAAGCAUCAAACUAAAAAGUAACAAAAUGAGUAUAUAAAGAAAAUAAAGUAAAGAUCAACAUACAUUAUAAAGAUAUGAACCAUAGGAGGCAGAUGAUGAGAUGAGCCAAACCCAAGUUCACGAAACUACAUAGGAGGCAGAGAAUGAUGCUAUUUCUGACAUGCAAGCUACAAUGGAGUUUGAAAUUGAAAGAAAAUUGUUUCUCUAUUUGUUGGAGUUGGAGUUGCAUGUCUUCCCCUUUGUCUAAUCCUCUCUCUUAAGGGGGCUUCUAAAUCUGAUAGUUUUCUCCCCUCUCAGUGCAUGCAUGGUCGCGAUCGAGGAAAAGGGAAACGAAGAUGAGAAAUCACACUUUGAGCCCACCCAUUCCAUGCGUCGACACUAAAGAGGUCCACACAAACUAGGAAUUGAAGACAGGAAUAGGCAAAUUGAAUGGAUUAAGGACAGGAGAGCUUGGGAUCGUGAAAGGGAGAGAGAGAGAAUUGAUAGAAUGCUUUGAUAAUGGUGGAGAAAAAGAAGAAUGAUGAAGGAGAUUUAGCUACUGGAAAGGGG
This 1432-nucleotide unclassified non-coding RNA is filed under the name Hevea brasiliensis (rubber tree). The record is from RNAcentral. Lineage: Eukaryota; Viridiplantae; Streptophyta; Magnoliopsida; Malpighiales; Euphorbiaceae.